RNAcentral lists this unclassified non-coding RNA (363 nucleotides) under Hevea brasiliensis (rubber tree). The record is from RNAcentral. Lineage: Eukaryota; Viridiplantae; Streptophyta; Magnoliopsida; Malpighiales; Euphorbiaceae.
UGCAGCCCCAAAUCCCCCGAUCAAACCCCCAACCUCAAUCUCGAGAUCUCGAAUCGGAACUCCAAUGGCGCGCCUCUCGACGGGCCUGCUCCUCCUCGUCCUCCUCCUCGCGCACACCUUCUCCGCCAUCGCAGGGAAAAAUUACUAUGAUACACUGCAAGUGCCGAAGGGCGCAUCGGAGGAGCAGAUCAAGAGGUCGUACCGGAAGCUAGCGCUGAAAUACCACCCGGAUAAGAAUCCUGGCAAUGAGGAGGCUACUAAGAAGUUUGCGGAGAUCAACAAUGCUUAUGAGGUGCUGACGGAUAAUGAGAAGAGAAGUAUCUAUGAUCGAUAUGGGGAGGAGGGGUUGAAGCAGCAUGCUGG